GUAGGUGAACCUGCGGAAGGAUCAUUAACGAAUCACAAAGUGGGGGGGGGGAUGGUUGUGAUGACUCAAAAGGUCAUCAUGCCCCCCUUCCCAUAUUAACCCGAGCCCGAGCAGCAAUGCCGGGCAAGGUGUGUGAGUGUGGAACUGGAAAGGGGAACCUGGAAAGAGCCCUCUCACGCGGUGAAGAUCAAUCAACGAUCGGAUCCACAUAGACGCUUGUAUGUUUGACAGAGUUAGUUGACACUUAAAA
This 250-nucleotide unclassified non-coding RNA is filed under the name plant metagenome. RNAcentral describes it as "partial contains small subunit ribosomal RNA, internal transcribed spacer 1, and 5.8S ribosomal RNA". The record is from RNAcentral.